This 532-nucleotide ribosomal RNA is filed under the name Calacalles theryi. Its description in RNAcentral is "partial 16S ribosomal RNA". It matches the Rfam family "Bacterial large subunit ribosomal RNA", at positions 1819 to 2625 of the family's 2925-position model. The record is from RNAcentral. Lineage: Eukaryota; Metazoa; Arthropoda; Insecta; Coleoptera; Curculionidae.
GGCCUUUUGAUAAUAAUUUAAGGUCGGGCCUGCCCAAUGAAAUUUUAAAUGGCCGCGGUAUUUUAACCGUGCAAAGGUAGCAUAAUCAUUAGUUUUUUAAUUGAAAGCUGGGAUGAAGGGUUUAAUGAAAAAAUUACUGUCUCUAUCUAAAUUUAUUAGAAAUUUAUUUUUAAGUAAAAAAGCUUAAAUAAUUAUUAAAGACGAGAAGACCCCAUAGAGUUUUAUAUCUAAAGAAUUUAUUGUAUUUAGGAUUUUUAAAUUAUUUUUGUAAGGUAUUUAGUUGGGGCGAUUAAAAAAUUUGAGUAACUUUUUUUAAAAUGACCAUUGAUUUAUGAUUAAUUGAUCCUUUUUUUAGAUUAAAAGAUAAAAUUACCUUGGGGAUAACAGCGUAAUUUUUUUUUAAAGUUCCUAUUGAAAUAAAAGAUUGCGACCUCGAUGUUGGAUUAAAAUUUAAUUGCUGGUGUAGCAGCUAGCAAAUUAGGUCUGUUCGACCUUUAAAAUUUUACAUGAUCUGAGUUUAGACCGGUUUGAG